This 229-nucleotide long non-coding RNA is filed under the name Ananas comosus (pineapple). RNAcentral's name for it is "long non-coding RNA (ACOM_LNC038660)". The record is from RNAcentral. Lineage: Eukaryota; Viridiplantae; Streptophyta; Magnoliopsida; Poales; Bromeliaceae.
UAUCUUUUCGCUCAAUACUUUUAGGGUAUUUUGAGACUCGGGGACAACUUUGUUCGGCAAAACGAGGCACUACGCGACGGUUCGGUGGGUUUGACCUAGCCACACAAUGAGAAAUUCUCAUUUGUGAUGAAUUAAGUAUCAUUAAUUCAAAAAGCAUGCAUAUUCUUGUUAUAUGUAUUUAUUGUAAAUUUUAGAAUGCUUAAAAUGCCUAUGUUACUUAUAGUGCAAU